Molecule: ribosomal RNA, 253 nt
Filed under: uncultured bacterium
Lineage: Bacteria
Description: partial 16S ribosomal RNA
Rfam family: Bacterial small subunit ribosomal RNA
Source: RNAcentral
CACGUAGGGGGCGAGCGUUGUCCGGAUUCAUUGGGCGUAAAGGGCGCGCAGGCGGCCCGGCAAGUCGGAUGUGAAAACUCGAGGCUCAACCUCGAGCGUGCACCCGAUACUGCCGGGCUUGAGGCAGGUAGGGGAGAUCGGAAUUCCUGGUGUAGCGGUGAAAUGCGCAGAUAUCAGGAGGAACACCGGUGGCGAAGGCGGAUCUCUGGGCCUGUCCUGACGCUGAGGCGCGAAAGCGUGGGGAGCAAACAGG